This 696-nucleotide ribosomal RNA is filed under the name uncultured cyanobacterium. RNAcentral describes it as "bacterial SSU rRNA". It matches the Rfam family "Bacterial small subunit ribosomal RNA", at positions 66 to 804 of the family's 1533-position model. The record is from RNAcentral. Lineage: Bacteria; Bacillati; Cyanobacteriota.
ACGGAACUCUUCGGAGUUCAGUGGCGGACGGGUGAGUAACGCGUGAGAAUCUGCCUAGAGGAUGGGGACAACCACGGGAAACUGUGGCUAAUACCCAAUGAGCGGAGGCGUUAAAGAUUUAUCGCCUCUAGAGGAGCUCGCGUCUGAUUAGCUAGUUGGUGGGGUAAAAGCCUACCAAGGCGACGAUCAGUAGCUGGUCUGAGAGGACAACCAGCCACACUGGGACUGAGACACGGCCCAGACUCCUACGGGAGGCAGCAGUGGGGAAUUUUCCGCAAUGGGCGAAAGCCUGACGGAGCAAUACCGCGUGAGGGAGGAAGGCUCUUGGGUCGUAAACCUCUUUUCUCAGGGAAGAAGAAAGUGACGGUACCUGAGGAAUCAGCCUCGGCUAACUCCGUGCCAGCAGCCGCGGUAAUACGGAGGAGGCAAGCGUUAUCCGGAAUUAUUGGGCGUAAAGCGUCCGUAGGUGGCUCUUCAAGUCUGCUGUCAAAGAGUGGGGCUUAACUCCAGAAAGGCAGUGGAAACUGAAAGGCUAGAGAGCCGUAGGGGUAGAGGGAAUUCCCGGUGUAGCGGUGAAAUGCGUAGAGAUCGGGAAGAACAUCGGUGGCGAAAGCGCUCUACUGGACGGUAUCUGACACUGAGGGACGAAAGCUAGGGGAGCGAAUGGGAUUAGAUACCCCAGUAGUCCUAGCCGUA